Molecule: ribosomal RNA, 377 nt
Filed under: uncultured prokaryote
Description: bacterial SSU rRNA
Rfam family: Bacterial small subunit ribosomal RNA
Source: RNAcentral
GACGUAGGUGGCGAGCGUUAUUCGGAAUCAUUGGGCGUAAAGGGUCCGUAGGAGGCCGGCUAAGGCUGAGGUGAAAGGUCAAGGCUCAACCUUGACAGGUCCUUGGCGACUGGCACGGCUAUCGAGGGUCGGAGAGGAGCGUGGAAUUCCCGGUGUAGCGGUGGAAUGCGUGGAUAUCGGGAGGAACGCCAACAGCGAAGGCAGCGCUCUGGACGAUACCUGACUCUGAAGGACGAAAGCGUGGGGAGCAAACAGGAUUAGAUACCCUGGUAGUCCACGCUGUAAACGGUGUGCACUCGGUGUGGGGUGGUUUGGCCCAUUCUGCGCCUGAGCUAACGCGUUAAGUGCACCGCCUGGGGAGUACGGCCGCAAGGCUA